UGGGGAAUAUUGGACAAUGGACCAAGAGUCUGAUCCAGCAAUUCUGUGUGCACGAUGAAGUUUUUCGGAAUGUAAAGUGCUUUCAGUUGGGAAGAAAGAAAUGACGGUACCAACAGAAGAAGUGACGGCUAAAUACGUGCCAGCAGCCGCGGUAAUACGUAUGUCACGAGCGUUAUCCGGAUUUAUUGGGCGUAAAGCGCGUCUAGGUGGUUAUGUAAGUCUGAUGUGAAAAUGCAGGGCUCAACUCUGUAUUGCGUUGGAAACUGUAUAACUAGAGUACUGGAGAGGUAAGCGGAACUACAAGUGUAGAGGUGAAAUUCGUAGAUAUUUGUAGGAAUGCCGAUGGGGAAGCCAGCUUACUGGACAGAUACUGACGCUGAAGCGCGAAAGCGUGGGUAGCAAACAGGAUUAGAUACCCUGGUAGUCCAUGCCGUAAACGAUGAUUACUAGGUGUUGGGGGUCGAACCUCAGCGCCCAAGCAAACGCGAUAAGUAAUCCGCCUGGGUAGUACGUACGCAAGUAUG
RNAcentral lists this ribosomal RNA (524 nucleotides) under uncultured bacterium. RNAcentral's name for it is "bacterial SSU rRNA". It matches the Rfam family "Bacterial small subunit ribosomal RNA", at positions 355 to 896 of the family's 1533-position model. The record is from RNAcentral.